RNAcentral lists this ribosomal RNA (263 nucleotides) under Anagapetus debilis. RNAcentral describes it as "partial 28S large subunit ribosomal RNA". It matches the Rfam family "Eukaryotic large subunit ribosomal RNA", at positions 649 to 859 of the family's 3401-position model. The record is from RNAcentral. Lineage: Eukaryota; Metazoa; Arthropoda; Insecta; Trichoptera; Glossosomatidae.
CCGUCUUGAAACACGGACCAAGGAGUCUAGCAUGUGCGCGAGUCAUUGGGAGACAAUAGACCCAGAGGCGCAAUGAAAGUGAAAGCGUCGCCCCCCUCGGGGGACGGUCGCGCAGGGAAGAUGCGCGGGCGGCGUCAGCCGCCCCGCCGCAUUCCCGAGGCGUUUCGAGAAAGCCACCGCGCGAUUAUCGAGACGCACUGAGAGCGUACACGCUGGGACCCGAAAGAUGGUGAACUAUGCCUGGUCAGGUCGAAGUCAGGGGA